UGGGGAAUUUUGGACAAUGGGCGAAAGCCUGAUCCAGCAAUGCCGCGUGUGUGAAGAAGGCCUUCGGGUUGUAAAGCACUUUUGUCCGGAAAGAAAUCCUUGGCUCUAAUACAGUCGGGGGAUGACGGUACCGGAAGAAUAAGCACCGGCUAACUACGUGCCAGCAGCCGCGGUAAUACGUAGGGUGCAAGCGUUAAUCGGAAUUACUGGGCGUAAAGCGUGCGCAGGCGGUUUGCUAAGACCGAUGUGAAAUCCCCGGGCUCAACCUGGGAACUGCAUUGGUGACUGGCAGGCUAGAGUAUGGCAGAGGGGGGUAGAAUUCCACGUGUAGCAGUGAAAUGCGUAGAGAUGUGGAGGAAUACCGAUGGCGAAGGCGGCCCCCUGGGCCAAUACUGACGCUCAUGCACGAAAGCGUGGGGAGCAAACAGGAUUAGAUACCCUGGUAGUCCACGCCCUAAAACGAUGUCAACUAGUUGUUGGGGGAUUCAUUUCCUUAGUAACGUAGCUAACGCGUGAAGUUGACCGCCUGGGGAGUACGUCGCAAGAUUAAAACUUAAAGGAAUUGACGGGGUCAUAGCUGUUUCCU
RNAcentral lists this ribosomal RNA (586 nucleotides) under uncultured bacterium. RNAcentral's name for it is "partial 16S ribosomal RNA". It matches the Rfam family "Bacterial small subunit ribosomal RNA", at positions 355 to 1375 of the family's 1533-position model. The record is from RNAcentral.